This 253-nucleotide unclassified non-coding RNA is filed under the name uncultured Planctomycetota bacterium. Its description in RNAcentral is "uncultured planctomycete contains 16S-23S intergenic spacer region". It matches the Rfam family "Bacterial small subunit ribosomal RNA", at positions 524 to 776 of the family's 1533-position model. The record is from RNAcentral. Lineage: Bacteria; Pseudomonadati; Planctomycetota.
UACGAAGGUGGCAAGCGUUGCUCGGAAUUACUGGGCAUAAAGGGCGCGUAGGUGGCGCGGCCAGUCGGUGGUGAAAGCCUGUGGCUCACCCAUAGAAUGGCCAUCGAUACUGCCGUGCUUGAGGGCAGGAGGGGAGAGUGGAACUCCUGGUGUAGCGGUGAAAUGCGUAGAUAUCAGGAGGAACGCCGGUGGCGAAAGCGACUCUCUGGACUGCACCUGACACUGAGGCGCGAGAGCUAGGGGAGCAAACAGG